RNAcentral lists this ribosomal RNA (220 nucleotides) under uncultured bacterium. RNAcentral's name for it is "partial 16S ribosomal RNA". It matches the Rfam family "Bacterial small subunit ribosomal RNA", at positions 524 to 742 of the family's 1533-position model. The record is from RNAcentral.
UACGUAGGAGGCGAGCGUUGUCCGGAAUUAUUGGGCGUAAAGAGCUCGUAGGCGGUCUGUCACGCGGCUGUUGAAAACCCGAGGCUCAACCUCGGGCCUGCAGUCGAUACGGGCAAACUAGAGUACUGCAGGGGAGACUGGAAUUCCUGGUGUAGCGGUGAAAUGCGCAGAUAUCAGGAGGAACACCGGUGGGCGAAGGCGGGUCUCUGGGCAGUAACUG